RNAcentral lists this ribosomal RNA (497 nucleotides) under uncultured bacterium. RNAcentral describes it as "partial 16S ribosomal RNA". It matches the Rfam family "Bacterial small subunit ribosomal RNA", at positions 28 to 507 of the family's 1533-position model. The record is from RNAcentral.
GAUGAACGCUGGCGGCGUGCCUAAUACAUGCAAGUCGAGCGAAAAGACGAGGAGCUUGCUCCUCUGACGUUAGCGGCGGACGGGUGAGUAACACGUGGAUAACCUACCUAUAAGACUGGGAUAACUUCGGGAAACCGGAGCUAAUACCGGAUAAUAUAUUGAACCGCAUGGUUCAAUAGUGAAAGACGGUUUUGCUGUCUCUUAUAGAUGGAUCCGCGCCGCAUUAGCUAGUUGGUAAGGUAACGGCUUACCAAGGCAACGAUGCGUAGCCGACCUGAGAGGGUGAUCGGCCACACUGGAACUGAGACACGGUCCAGACUCCUACGGGAGGCAGCAGUAGGGAAUCGUCCGCAAUGGGCGAAAGCCUGACGGAGCAACGCCGCGUGAGUGAUGAAGGUCUUCGGAUCGUAAAACUCUGUUAUUGGGGAAGAACAAAUGUGUAAGUAACUAUGCACGUCUUGACGGUACCUAAUCAGAAAGCCACGGCUAACUACGUG